CCGGAUACGUUCUUUUCUCGCAUGAGAGAAGAUGGAAAGACGGUUUACGCUGUCACUUAUAGAUGGGCCCGCGGCGCAUUAGCUAGUUGGUGAGGUAAUGGCUCACCAAGGCGACGAUGCGUAGCCGACCUGAGAGGGUGAUCGGCCACACUGGGACUGAGACACGGCCCAGACUCCUACGGGAGGCAGCAGUAGGGAAUCUUCCGCAAUGGACGAAAGUCUGACGGAGCAACGCCGCGUGAACGAAGAAGGCCUUCGGGUCGUAAAGUUCUGUUGUUAGGGAAGAACAAGUACCAGAGUAACUGCUGGUACCUUGACGGUACCUAACCAGAAAGCCACGGCUAACUACGUGCCAGCAGCCGCGGUAAUACGUAGGUGGCAAGCGUUGUCCGGAAUUAUUGGGCGUAAAGCGCGCGCAGGUGGUUCCUUAAGUCUGAUGUGAAAGCCCACGGCUCAACCGUGGAGGGUCAUUGGAAACUGGGGAACUUGAGUGCAGAAGAGGAAAGUGGAAUUCCAAGUGU
This 521-nucleotide ribosomal RNA is filed under the name bacterium. RNAcentral describes it as "bacterial SSU rRNA". It matches the Rfam family "Bacterial small subunit ribosomal RNA", at positions 169 to 676 of the family's 1533-position model. The record is from RNAcentral.